Molecule: long non-coding RNA, 456 nt
Filed under: Nicotiana tabacum (common tobacco)
Lineage: Eukaryota; Viridiplantae; Streptophyta; Magnoliopsida; Solanales; Solanaceae
Description: long non-coding RNA (NTAB_LNC019572)
Source: RNAcentral
ACUACUACUUUUGUUAAAUUCUUCAAUAGCAUGGUUAGCUAGUUCCGUUAGCAUGUCAAUCUCUGUCUCGAAAUCCAGAUAUGGUACAUAUAUAGCUGCCUUAGCAUUACCGGGGUAUACGUCAAUGUCAAAACCCUGUCAAACAAGAGAAACAAAUGUCAUUGACUUCUAUCCAAGUUGUAAGAAAAAGAGAGGUCAUAAUUGAACUGAUCGAAUAUAUAAAGAGAGUUGAAAGAGAGCCUUGGAGCAACCGUCUCCGUGUGACCUAUAGAUCACAAGUUUGAGCCGUAGAAUCAACUAAUUGGCACCCUUUUAACAGACAAACAAACAAGUUAAUUAAAAUACACUAAACUAAAAUGCUAUUUUAGGAUUUGGUCAGUUAGUUUAAAGAGAAAAGGGGUCAAAGUCUAGGAAGAAGAAUAACAAAAAGAUCUAAGGCCAAAAGCACCAAAAUAA